This 5342-nucleotide long non-coding RNA is filed under the name Bemisia tabaci. Its description in RNAcentral is "lncRNA ENSSSA1UGG004575". The record is from RNAcentral. Lineage: Eukaryota; Metazoa; Arthropoda; Insecta; Hemiptera; Aleyrodidae.
AGACCAGAUUUCCCCUGGAGUCUUCAUAAUAAGCCAUAAACAAGUCUGAUUUUUGGACAUUCACCAUUGAACAGUCAAAUGCAUAAGAUCAAAUCUUGCUACUCCGUCUCAGAUUGCUCGAGGUGUGCGGAAGGAUAAGGCGGGGAGGAUGAGGAUUCUGAGGCUGAAGCGGCUGGACUCCUCGCACGAGUAUGAGGACGGCGCGGAGGACCAGAAGAGGGAGCGGACGACGGCGACGGCCGAGAGACAGGACAAAACGAUCAAGUCGGAGCGCGGCCGCCAGGAAAAGGGCCCCGAUCAACCGCAGGUCUUCCAGACCGUCACCGCCAUGCCGGCCCUCAUCCUCGAGGACGACGCUGCCCCCAUCGAUAUGAAAAGAAAGCUCUCCACCUGGGGCCGAAAGAUGGGCAAGAAAUUGGACCUCCUCCGGCGCUCGGAGUCGCGCGACUCCCUGGACUCUGACAGCAUCGGCUCGCGCGACAGCCUCCGGAAGCGCACCCCCCUCCGCGGCGGGAAAUCCUCGGAAAACAUCAACACCCCAACCUCCACCGACUCCAACACCCGCUCCUCCAUCAAAGGCUUCUUCAACCGCCUCGGCUACAACAACCAAACCCGGCUCCAGACCGGCAGCUUCCGGGCCUCCGAGAAACCCCCCGAGCCGGAGCUCUACCGCUCCGUCUCCACGUCGCACCUCGUGACGUCAUACGUCCGCGGCGACGACCCCGCCGACUGCCUCGACAAGCCCGCCCCCAGCGACAAAGACGCCAACUACCCCAUGAAGACCAUGUCGUGCGAUAAUAUCUCCAGGUUGGGCCAGGGGGCGACACCGUCGCCCAAGAAGGCCAACUUCCCGUACGCAUUUUUGAGGUCGAAGCUGUCCGUCCUCCCGGAGGAGAACGUUAAGUCGGGGCUCUCGUGUUCCAAGUUCGCGCAGAGCGACUCGUUCAGUGCUUACGAGACGCUGCGCGCGAGGUCCAAUUCCGAGGAGCACUUCCCGAAUCUGAAGAUCGAGCCGACGAUAGAGUGCAGCACGCUCGGGCGGCGGAAGAAACCAAGUCUGGAGAUCAACAGGGGUAGCUGUUUGACGAUGAAGGCGGACAAGCUGCACCUGAGCAACUACGUGAGCUCGAACGAGUCAGGCUACGACAGCGACAGCACGAGGAACGCAGAGGACAGUUUCAUGCUCAAGCUGGAUCUUAGCGAGAAGUCGGACCUCAACGAAAGUUUCGACUCGAGCAGUGUCAAGUCCGAGCGGCUCGACGACACCGAGCAACCCUUUAGUCUGGCCCUACAGCCCAGCUCGCCCUGGGCCUACAAUAGCCUGAGCCGGCAGUUCAAAUCGCGGCAAUCUAGUCAAGGCUCGGAAUCCCCGCCUUUCAAGUUCAAGGGCGACAAACGGGACAUCCCCCGCACCCCCAAGUUCACCCGGCAGAUGUUCGUCAAGAACACCAAGCCGCGGAGGAUGUUCUCGACGGUGUUACCCAUCGAGCAGGAGAUGACGUCACUCCCGCCCAUGACGUCACUGCCACCCAAUCUCAACGCGGAGCCGAGCAGGAGGUUCCGGCUCAUCCGGCUCCUCAAAGUCAGGGCAGACGAGGACCUGGGCAUCUACCUCACCAUGAAGGCGCUCGACUUUCAGAGCUCCGAGGUCCGGUACAUCGUCGUUAAGCUCGAGGCCGGAAAGAUCGCGGAAAGGUAAGUUCGAGUUUCGGGUUUUUCGCAACAUUUAAAGUACUUUUGGUUUUUUUUUAGAGAGGGGGGGCGGGAUUGCACCUGCGUCCGUGUGGGGUCAUUUCGUAGCAUGGUAGCCGGGCAUGUGGAGUCAUUUGUCCAAGUGGGGUCUUUUUCCGGACCCCAGAUGGAAAUAGUUGUUUUUCAUCGUCUCUCCACCGUUCACGUGGGGUCAUCUUCGUCUUUCCACCAUAGACGUGGGGCCCAAACUGAAUUGCAUCAGGUUAGGUUAGGUUAGGUUAGGUUAGGUUAGGUUAGGUUAGGUCAGGUUAGGAUAGUUUAAGUUAGGUUAGGAUAGGUUAGGUUAGGUAAAAGUAAGUUUUACAUUCUUAUGACCCCACACGGACGGGGAGACUGGGCAUUGAGGGAGAGGGGGAGAGGGGGAGAGAGGGGGGGAGAGAGGGGGAGAGAGGGGGGAGAGAGAGGCCAUAGACGGAAUAGAGAAUUUGCAGAAGUCUGAAAUUUUGUGAGGAAAACUGAGCGCGAGGGUAUUCUUGGUUUCUAAGUUACACGAUUAUUAGAGAAAAUACGACAAAAUAACCGAAUCUGCUAUAAUACACAUGUGUUUAAAUGGAAAAUGCCGCCAGAUGACGUCAUGAGAUGGCACACGUUCUCACUUUUAAACCAAUUUUUCUCCAAUUUUCCAUGUUAGAAAAAAAUUGUGAAAAGUGCUGCGAACUCAGCUCAUAAGGCACUCUCAGAUGAAGCGAUAGAAUUUUUGUGUGCAAAUUCCCCAUUAAAAAUGUCUUGAAGAGGCGCACAGUGGAUCGAAUCAACGAAAGAGCAAAAUUUUGGUGAUUUAGCUUCUGAAACGACUUAGAUCCAUACGUUUACAAAGUUUCUCAUUUGCAGAGAGAAGAAAUGAGGGGGCUGGAGGACUAGGUGCAUAAGAGCAGUUUUCGCAAGUUCAAGAAGUACGUGUUUAAAGUUUCAAAAUUAUAUGGAGCCUUAUUGCACAAAGAAAGUUUAGCCUGACUUUUUGAUGCUUAAAAGUCGGUUUUUUGUUGUGAAUUUUUCACAGAAUAUACUUUCAAACUAGUUUCAGUUGAAUUCAUGAAUAUCUCAAUUUUUUCAUAAACUGCAUUUAUGCGCCCUGUCCUCCAAACCCCACAAUUGUGAUACAAAAUAAUCCUAACGGUCAGGGCCGGAUUAAGGGGGUGGCCACAUGGGCCGCGGCCCAUGGCGGCAAAUCUAUAGGGGGCGGACAAUUUUGCAAUUUUUUUAAAUGUAGGUAUUAAAAAAAAUUACAAACAAGAAAAGGCGACAAAAUCUCUAAUUUUCUGAGAGUAUAGUAAUUUCUACUUUUGUCGUCUUUCAAUGAUACAAGAGGCAGCAUCUUUAAUUAGUCGAGUUAAGAGAGAAACCAAACACGCAAUUUGGCCUGGAACGCGACUUACCUAGAGAGAAAUGAUGCCGAGAACUUGAGAUGAAAAGGAAAAGCCCUCGGCGCGGAAAUCGGCAUGUCACACAUAUUAGCGCCCACAAGACUGCACGAAUACUUCACGCAUUGCAGCUAACACAGUGCGGUCAUUGCGGACAGCGUGAAACGGAUAGCGCCUACAAGAAUGCAUGAAUACCUCACGCAUUGCGGCAAACAAACUGCGAUCAGCGUGAGACGCAUAACGCCUACAAGACUGCGUGAAUACUUCACGCAUUGCGUUAAACACAGUGCGGUCUGCGAGGCGCGGCGACGGAAGUUAAAAUCAUUAAUCCACAUUUAUGUUUGUUCUUUCAUAAUUGUUUCGUUCAUUUCUUAUGAAUUGAAGGCCUUGUCCACACAGAGAUAGGUUUACGAAACUUAACUUUCGCGCAAAGUUCCGUGAACUUUUGCCAGUAGUGUUGACAGGGCUUUCCCAAAAAAUGUGUUCAACACCAGUAAACGCGUCUUGUGCACCCGUCCCCGCUGGCACGUUCAUUUGAUGGUUUUCAUUGAUGUUUCAAAACGAAUGAGAAGGGGGCGGUAAAAUACUAGCUGCCCAUGGGCGGCAAGUAGGUAAAUCCGACCCUGCUAACGGUACAUCUAAUGUAUCACUGAUCCUACCAACAUCCAGGCAUUGAUGUAUGCUUCUAUAUUGUGGAAAAAACAGCCCCGAAAGGAGUUGUGUCUAGUUCAGCAUUAAAUUUAAGAAGACAUGGUUCCUAUUUUCGGAGUGCAUACCAUCAUUUUAUCACACUGCUAACCAAAGAAGGCACCAUCAGAGAAAGUUGCCUUUUAAGCAAAUAUCAAACAUUUUCAAUGAAGGUUUUCAUUGAAACAGUAGCUAGCUAAAAGCGCAUAGGAAUUUUGCGGGCAGUUUUUCCUGGUUCUUACGGAUUAUCAAAGCCAAAAAAGGGCCCGAAAUUCUCGGCCUGGUAUCGCGUGCCUGUAAGUCCAAAUCAAAAGCCGGUAAUUAUUACUGGUGAUGACAUUUUGCACGGAGCACCCUUUAUUAUCGGCUUUUUUCAUCGGUCCUUUUUCUUGGCCGAAUCUUUUAUUUCGAACUCGAACUCCGAAAACUUGAAACGUCCGGCUUUCGAGCCAAAAAGGUCUGCAUAUUUCGAAAACAGGGACCGCAUUUUUUGGAGAGGCAGGUCGGGUUGUGCUCUCUGAAAGCCGUUCUCGAAAUUCCACGCUGACUUUGUCAGUGAUGCUUUCACCCCGGAAAUUUCAAUUUUAAUGACAGCUGCAGUAAUUUCAUUUGUAUUGACCUCCGAUCGAGAAUAAAUGAAUAAAUUUUCCCUAAACGGUAUAAUUUUUUCUGUGACGUAGGUAUUUUCUGCUUACUACUUCAAGACGAAAUCGCAGAAAGGAAUCUUGUGACGAUUGAUUGUUUUUCCAUUUUCUAAGUAAUGACAUUCAAUUCGCAAAAAAAGGUAAAAGCUCAUUGACAAGUCAUAAAAUAAACACACACUUAAAUGAAUUUUUAGUUCAAAUUAUUUUAAAUUUUGAAAAUUAUUAGUCCAGCUUGAGUUAAAAUUUUGAUAAAACUCUAACCAAUUUAUAUCGAGAAACUAAAAACUGAAUCCUCUGAAAUCCAUGAGACUCAAUCUGUACUAUUUUAGUUCCUAAUUAAGUAACGACUUAAUCUGGGGAAAAGAUACAGAACAGCAUAAAAAAUAAGAAAAUAUAGAAAAAACCAGUACGUUUUGAAAUAUAAUAAUCUCAUUUCCUAUCGGAAGAAACAAGGAAAAUUUUACGAGUUUUUUUGUUUCUUCCAGAAUAGCUUCGGAACCUUCAGAUAGUUUUCCUUGUUUAUUCUUGUUUUAUUAGGAAUUAAAAUUAUAUCAUUUUAAUUCCUAAAUAACAAAGAAAAUAUCCUCAUAAAAACAUUAGUAGCCGUCAGCGAAACGCAUGAUUAUGAGCGCAAUAAAAAAUUUAAAAUUCAGAGGUCUAAAAUUCCUUCUUGUGAUCGUUUUCAAUUGAAAAUCCCAUGAAUUGUGAAAAUCUCACAUGUCUCAUCAAUUAAAUUUGACCGGAAAAUGAAGAGGGAAAUUGCCCUCGUCAAAAGGGUUCAUAGAGCAGACCGUCUGACUCUCAAAAUACUCGGUUCCUUUCGGGAAUCGCAGUCCACGUAAUCCUGGGUUCAAGAGCCUGGAUGCGCGCUCGAUCUUAUACAAAAAAGGUUCGACAC